CCACCAAGCUUCCAGGAAAGCCACUAAGCUUCAGUCUAGAGUUGACCGUACCGCAAACCGACACAGGUGGGCAGGAUGAAAAUUCUAAGGCGCUUGAGAGAACUCAGGAGAAGGAACUCGGCAAAUUAACACCGUAACUUCGGGAGAAGGUGUGCCCCGGUAGCGUGUAGAGACUUGCUCUCGAAGCGCGAUGGGGUUACAGUGAAAUGGUGGCUGCGACUGUUUAAUAAAAACACAGCACUCUGCAAACACGAAAGUGGACGUAUAGGGUGUGACGCCUGCUCGGUGCCGGAAGGUUAAGUGAUGGGGUGCAAGCUCUUGAUCGAAGCCCCGGUAAACGGCGGCCGUAACAAUAACGGUCCUAAGGUAGCGAAAUUCCUUGUCGGGUAAGUUCCGACCUGCACGAAUGGCGUAACGAUGGCCACACUGUCUCCUCCUGGGACUCAGCGAAGUUGAAAUGUUUGUGAAGAUGCAAUCUACCCGCGGCUAGACGGAAAGACCCCAUGAACCUUUACUGUAGCUUUGCAUUGGACUUUGAACCGGUUUGUGUAGGAUAGGUGGGAGACUGUGAAGCCGGGACGCUAGUUCGGUGGAGUCAACCUUGAAAUACCACCCUGAUUUGUUUGAGGUUCUAACCUUGGUCCGUGAAUCCGGAUCGGGGACCGUGCAUGGUAGGCAGUUUGACUGGGGCGGUCUCCUCCCAAAAGGUAACGGAGGAGUACGAAGGUACGCUUAGGGCGGUCGGACAUCGCCCACAAAGUGCAAUGGCAAAAGCGUGCUUGACUGCGAGACCCACAAGUCGAGCAGGUACGAAAGUAGGUCAUAGUGAUCCGGUGGUUCUGUAUGGAAGGGCCAUCGCUCAACGGAUAAAAGGUACUCUGGGGAUAACAGGCUAAUUCCUCCCAAGAGUUCAUAUCGACGGGGGAGUUUGGCACCUCGAUGUCGGCUCAUCACAUCCUGGGGCUGUAGUCGGUCCCAAGGGUAUGGCUGUUCGCCAUUUAAAGUGGUACGCGAGCUGGGUUUAAAACGUCGUGAGACAGUUUAGUCCCUAUCUGCCGUGGGCGCUGGAAAUUUGAAGGGGGCUGCUCCUAGUACGAGAGGACCGGAGUGGACGAACCUCUGGUGUACCGGUUAUGACGCCAGUCGUAUCGCCGGGUAGCUAAGUUCGGAAGAGAUAAACGCUGAAAGCAUCUAAGCGUGAAACUCGCCUUAAGAUAAGAUUUCCCGGAGU
This 1231-nucleotide ribosomal RNA is filed under the name metagenome. RNAcentral's name for it is "bacterial LSU rRNA". It matches the Rfam family "Bacterial large subunit ribosomal RNA", at positions 1597 to 2820 of the family's 2925-position model. The record is from RNAcentral.